CGCAACCACAGCCGCACAGCUGGCUUGAAAGUUGAAAGCUGUCCUCUUAAAAGGAACGGUGAAGUUGUUAAUAUAUAUUUAUUUCAUGAAGGAGAAACAAAACAAAAGAAAGCUUACCGAUGAUUUUUGAAAAUUCCAUUUCUUAAUUGUUUAUCCAUAAAUGCCUGCACCGACUGUACCAUCGCUUAUUUCAAUUAUUUUGUUAGCAUUUUUGCUUGGAUGUAGUAGUCCUUAUUCAAUGCGCUAAUCAUAAACAAUUGUUUGGUGUGUAAUAACAAUUUAGAAAUUUAGGAACUGAAUUAGCUAUUCAAUAUUAUCUCUAGUUACAUUUUUUUCCUUUUUUGACUUCUCAACUAUAUUGUUUUCACUCUUCACUUCAAAUUAUUUCAUUCUUUUUUUCUCCAAAGUGAACCUUAAAAAUUAACUUAUUAAUCAACGACAAAUCAAGCAUUCACUCGCCAUCUUCAUCUUACUUCCAAUUGAACCUCAUUACUAUUCUUUUGUUUCUUUUGUUUCCAUUUUCUUAAGCUCCACCCUAAAUUUGUUUGUCUCAACAAAAUCUCUCUUUUUCCUUUUUACUUCUUAUAGAGUUUUAUUUUAUUUAUUUUUCCUUAAAUUAUAUUUUGUUGAGAUCACAUAUCCUUUAGUUUAUUAACAAUAAUGAAUCUUUGAUUAAUAAAUAACAGAAGAAGCAAAAAGGACGAAAAUGAUUAAAAAAACCUCUGAUAUGAAGAAAAGAGACGAUUAGAUAAGUAGAGUUAGUAGCUAUAGAUGAGAAAGCAUCUUUGAAAAUACGUUUGGUAUAUAUCCAAUCGUACUACAACUCUUGUGUAUGAACACCAAUUCUUGUUUUGAAAGCUUGAUUGUGUGCUUUGAAGAUAUAAUUUUGUUCUGUAAUUUCUAUAAGUUUAUCAUCUGGACAUGUUGCAUUCUUGUGGUUUGUAAUUUGUGCAAGGAUUUUUGCUUAUUCUUUUUAACUUUGCAUUGUGUGCUUUGAAGAUAUAAUUUUGCUCUAUGUUAUGGUCAGUCUUGUUAUAAAGAUUGGAUAUUGUAAUGAAUUCUAGGGUAGUUAAGGGUAUUUGGUUAGAGUAAGAGAGUGAUUAAAACCGCGUUUAAGAGUUGCUUAAAAAUGAUGUUCAACACAAUUCUAGGGAUUUUAUUGCUCAUUAUGUUAUGAUAUUGAAUAGGACAAGUUACUAAUCAAAUAUAUGCAUCACAUUCUUGUGUUGUUUAUUUCUUUUCCUUUAUGGUUAGUUAACUAUAUGGUUACAUUUUUCCUUCUUUUAUAAUUUUGGUAAUGACUAAUGAGAACUUAUGCAUCCUGAAGAAUUCUUCUGUCAAGUCUAGAUGUCAUCUUGCCUUACCUAUAUUAACUAUUGCUUUAUAAAUGAAUAUGUAGGUUUUGAUUGGGGGUGUUUUCAAGGUAAUGAGCAUGCAAUUUGUAUUUCACAUGGAAAUUAAUUUGAUUAUAAAUUAUUAAGUUAUUUGAACUAAGAAAACAGGAUCAUUUUUAGGUGAUACAUGUUUUAUGUUUUGUGAGCUCGAAAUUGUUAUUAAUUAUAAUUUAUUUUAUACAUGGUCGGUGCUUUUCUUCAUUUAUCUAUGCCAUCUAUUGUAUCGAAGAUUUUACAUCCUUUAUCAUAUGUGUUGUAGUUUAGAUGCUCCUUCAAUUGUUACUGUUUGAAAUAGUAAUAAAUUAAGUUUUGCAAUCCUCAUUCUUAAUUACCUUAUUGAAAUAGUUGUUUCAUGUCCAGAUAUAUUUUCUUUGGCACACAUUUUUGAAUGAGGUUAUCAGGUUGCUUUAGCAUAUUUCUGAGUUGCAAUUGGAUUCUAUUAGGGGGUAUGAGAGUAAACCUAAACACCUUCCUUCUUAUAUAAGAUCUUUGGUUAGUUUUAUGUUUUUCCUUAAAUUGUUUUUGGUCCACUUUUAGAUUACAUGCUUCAAGCUGCCAAGUAAAUAAAAUCCUAUACUUCUUGCUGAAUUUGUAAUGAACCGAAAGUUACGGUAUCAGAAAUUGAGUCUUGAGUACUGUUUCCGUGAAAUUUAUUCAUGAAUAUUUAUUAGAAAUAUUUAUGAAUUAUAGUUGAAUGGUUAUUUAGUGUUUAAUUAAGUGAAGUAGCUUGAAUUUAGUUUAAAGGGCUAAAUUGCAUAAGGAAUAAAAAUUUAAUUAUAGAUUAAAGAAGUAAAAGGGACUAAUCUAGUAAUUAGACCCUAAGGGUCAUGUGUGUGUUAAUAUUGAAUAACGUGUGUAAUAGUUGGUAUAUAUGUGUAAUAGCUAUAAGAUAUUUUAUGUUAUAGCUAUUACACAUGUUAGUUUUAUAUUUAUUAUAGGUUAAUAAUGUAUAAUAAGUAAAAUUGAUAAAAUAGAAAAAGAAGAUAGAAAGACUAACAGAGAGCAAACGUGAAAGAAAGAAGAAAGAAAGAAAGAAAUAAAAAGGGAAAUUUCAGGAUUAAGGCCCUAAAGUUUGAUUGGUAAGUUGUUUUAGCUCAUUUUCUUAUGAUUUUUAUGUUUAUGGAUGCCUAAUUCAAACUUCUACAUGUAUGAGGUUAAAAUGAAGAAAAAUAGAGAAUUUUUAGAUAUUGAUUUAGUUGAAUAAAUUGAGGUUUUAUGGGUUAAAUUGAUAGAAAUUGAAGUUAGAAGUGAUUAGUUAAAGGAAUUUCUAAGUUAGGUUUAAAUAGGGACUAAGUUGAAUAAAGCUCAAAAUUUAUGUUUUAUAAUGAAUUUUAUGAGUUAGAAAUUGUUAAUGAGUUGAUUAAAAGAGAAUAUGAAGCUUAAGUUAAAGAAAAAAAGAUUAGUAAUGGAAAAAGGAUGAAAUUGGAAUUUUUGUAAAAGUUUGGUAGAAAGUGAAAAUGUGUUUUAUGAAUUAAUAUAUUGAUGAUUUUUAAUUGUAUGAUUGUUAGUAGCAAACGUAGCACCGGAUACGUCAUCAAAGAAGGGAAAAGAGAAAGUGAACAAAGAUAUCGAUUAAAUUCGAUAAAUAGUGGUUUGUAUUUCUAUAAACCGAGCUUAAUCGUUAUUGCUAUAUUUGAUAUUUAUAUUGUAUGAAAAUGUGAAUGAGGUAAGUAUUUUUACCAUAUUGAAAUGAAUGUGAUUUUGAAUACCCUAUUAACAGUGUCGGGCUAGUCGGAUAUAGUUGACAUGUCAUAGGAAUUGGAAGUAUUGGGAUAUUCCGACAUUGAGUCGAUGAGACACUAUGUGUCGACUACUGUUAAAGUUCCGGAUUUGUUCCGAUUAAGUACUUUGUGUACUAUAAUGUUAAAGUUCCGGAUUUGUUCCGAUGAAGCACUAUGUGCUUAUCCCGGAGUGUGGGUUGGAUCCAUGUAUCCGUUAGUGUCCGAGUUAUGUUAAUAAGGGUAAAUAAAGUAAAGAUUAUUAAAGUACUGAUUGAUAUUGAAUAAUAGCAAUAAUGUGUUUGAAUUACCAUGUUUUAAAGUUGAUUAAGCUAUUGUUUAUAGAAAUACCACUGAGAGUAUUCUCAGCGUACGGUUUGUUUCCGUGCGCAGGCUAGGUACGAAAGUAUAAGGACUCAGCAUACAAGCCGAUCCCCGAACUCAAAUUGGUGAAGUUUCUAUCUUUUUGAAAAAUGGCAUUGUACCUAGGAUGUCUUUUGGUCAUUUUAAAAGUAUCUAAGUUGUUAAGUGAUAUUUUGGUAUGUUUUGUAAAUGUUACCAAAACCUUAAGUAUGGUAUGUUUUGAUAUGUUAGUGAAGAGUAAUAAGAGGAAGUGUUGGUAAAUAUUGUAGAGAGAAGAAAUGAAGAUGUUAUAAACUUAGUUAUCAACAUUUUAUACUAAAACAGAUUUGGACAGUAACAGUAGUCCAACUUUGAAAAUACACCAAAAAUAGUAUAAAGUGAAUUAGAUGAUGAAUAAAAUAUGUAAUUGAAGCUUAAUGAAUCUAUUUUUAUAUGGAAGAAACAAAAUAGGUAAAAGAGUUGUAUUUUAUGAGAUAUUUACGUUUUGGUGAAACAGGGUUAGAGAAAUUUUUGGAUUCCCUAUUUUGAUUUUAAAAAUUCACCAUAAAUUGUGUAUUAAUAAUUAGGACUCAAAAUUUAUAUAUAUGGAUUCUUUAUUGAGUCUAUUUUUAAUUGAAACAAAUGGCAUAGUCAUUGGAUUUUUGUACAGGAAGAAAUUUGAUUCGUAGUGCACAAGGGUCAGAGUAGCUGAACCCUGAAAUAGGGGAGACUUUUUCUAAUAAAUUGUACUAAGUUGCCUGACCAAAAAUUCUAGAAAAAAAUUAGUAAGUAGAUAUAUGAGUCUAGUUUCAGGGAAAAUUUACAGAAUUGGAUUUCGAGUUUCGUAACUCGAGAUAUGAUUUUUUUAGCGACCGUGAUGCAGAUGGAUAGUUUACUACGAAAACUGUUUAAGUGCUAAGAUAAGUUUUGUAAUGUCUCCUGCUUGACUCCGGCAACGGUCUCGGGUAGGGGGACGUUACAGAAUUUAUAUAUGUUUCUUUAGAUGUUCAUCAUUAAUUUUGCGAAUCCUACUUUCUCCUGUUUGGAACUUUAAACUGGAUGAGAGACUAGAAUCUUUUGAAGCUUUUUCUUAUUUCUUUUGUUGAAGAUGUCACGUUGUUUAUAAAUCCACAUUACUUAUAACUGUUCUAAUUUAUCUAAGAACUUCAUCUUAUCAAAGGCAUCAAUUAUACUAUUUUUCUCCUCUCUUCGUCUUUGGCUGAUUUUUUUUUUUUUACAGAGCACCCAUUUUUCUCUUUGAUUGAAAUGCAAUAAAUUUUAAACUUAGAGAUUAAGACAUAUUGCAGUCACUACCUUUUAUUUAUUUGCAGUCAUGGAAGUAAAAAAGAGAAAAUAGGGAGCUUGCAUGAAUUGAUGUUGGAUUAUACAAACAUACACUAGUUAUUAAUUAAAAAUCAGUAACUCUUUGUUGACAUUUUUCUUUUUAGAGUCGAGAUUAUGAACUUUUGGGUAUUUAAGCUACACCAACUUAAUCUAGUUUUGUUCUUUUAAGGGGUCAUCUUGCUCAUUUUUCGUAAUGUAUAAUAACCAUUUUGUUUAUUUUUCAAAUAGAUGGAUUGUAAUGCAAUUUAAGAUAUAAGACAAUGACUUGUAUAAUGUUUUUACCAUUGGUAUCAUUUUACAACUAGUGAGAUUAAUUUAUUAAUAAUUAUAUAGUAAUUCUCCGAGCAUGUAUUUUGUGAAAGAAAUAUUAAUUUACAUUUAGCUUGUCUUUUUUCUCCUUUUUAUAUAGUAAUACAUUUCUUAGUUGCUAAGUUUUAAAUCUUAAAUAAAAACUAAAUCUUUUAAUUGGCCCCAAAAUCGAAGGCCAUCCUUGGAGCUGAUAAUGAACAUAACCCAAUCAAUUUCAUGGGCUAUUGGAACAUUGAAAAUUAUAGUUUUUGAUUUUAAUUUUAUUUAUUUAUUUAUAUUAUCUUUAAAUAUUUUAAAGUAAUUUAGUUGCUUUAAAUAUCAUUUUUAAAACAACUAUAAUUUUUGUUUAAGACAUUGUUAUUUGCUAAAUAAAAAGUCGGUUUUGUUGAAUGAAAUUUUAUAAAGAAAUCAAUUUCAGGUUUUUUACUUGCAAAGAUAGUUGUAAUUUCUAUUUUGUGCUUUGCAAAGAUUCUUAAUAUGUAUUGUUCAUUUUUCUUUGUCAAUGUGUUAUUGCUUUAUCUUCUUCUUUGGCUUGCUUGAUUGCUUCUUCCACCCACACUUAAGCCUCUUGUAUUCACUGAAUUAUUGUAAGUUCUUCUGCAAUUAAAUUCUUUGAUUUUGGUUUAUUGUUAUUGAGAUUAAUAUUGAAGAAAUGUGAUCAUUUUCCUAUGAUUUGAAUAUAUGUAACACUUUAAUAUCUUGCAGUAAUGAUUUGUUUGCCUUUAAUAGUACAAAGUGAGAGGCGUAAAAGAAUUGAUAUUACAUUGACAGUAUGGUUGCAAAUGGGUACAGUUGCGAGUUGCUUCUUAGUUACAUUAGGUGUCGUCCAUAGCCUACAUACGUAGAGACCAAGGAUUAGAUCAUAUAUUUUAGAUUUUUAUGCAAAAU
Molecule: long non-coding RNA, 5995 nt
Filed under: Gossypium barbadense (sea-island cotton)
Lineage: Eukaryota; Viridiplantae; Streptophyta; Magnoliopsida; Malvales; Malvaceae
Description: long non-coding RNA (GBAR_LNC005328)
Source: RNAcentral